Molecule: transfer RNA, 76 nt
Filed under: Marmota monax (woodchuck)
Lineage: Eukaryota; Metazoa; Chordata; Mammalia; Rodentia; Sciuridae
Description: tRNA.Ala
Source: RNAcentral
UAAGGCUAUAGCUCAGUGGUAGAGAGCUCGCCUAGCCUGCCUGUGGUCCUGGGCUCAAUCCCCAGAACAGAUUUAA